Molecule: ribosomal RNA, 253 nt
Filed under: uncultured bacterium
Lineage: Bacteria
Description: partial 16S ribosomal RNA
Rfam family: Bacterial small subunit ribosomal RNA
Source: RNAcentral
UACAGGGGGGGCAAGCGUUGUUCGGAAUUACUGGGCGUAAAGGGCUCGUAGGUGGCCAACUAAGUCAGACGUGAAAUCCCUCAGCUUAACUGGGGAACUGCGUCUGAUACUGGAUGGCUUGAGUUUGGGAGAGGGAUGCGGAAUUCCAGGUGUAGCGGUGAAAUGCGUAGAUAUCCUAAGGAACACCGGUGGCGAAGGCGGCGUCCUGGACCAACACUGACACUGAGGAGCGAAAGCCAGGGGAGCAAACGGG